Molecule: long non-coding RNA, 503 nt
Organism: Biomphalaria glabrata
Lineage: Eukaryota; Metazoa; Mollusca; Gastropoda; Planorbidae
Exons: 3
Source: RefSeq, a predicted model, not a curated record
GGAUGAAAUAACAUUAGUUUAAAAGAAAACCAAUAAAGAAAGAUUAUAUAACUGUGGUUAAUAGAUACGAAAGAGUAAAACUAGACAAGAAAAUCGACUGCCCUACAAAGUGGGAGAAGUUUACAAUUCAAAGGAGCGUUACCGUACCAUUGGAUGGCCUCCAUCUUAGAGAACUUCAAAGGAUUAUAAACAAGGAAUGAAAAGCUUGUUUUCAGACGACUAAUUACAACUAUUAGUUUCAGUGGGACAAGACUGUUUCAUUUUUUAAUAGACUUACACAAGGACAUGAACUCUGAUCAUUUAUGCUGCCCACCAAAAGAAUUUAAUCGACCACGAGUUACGGAGCGUGAAUCUAGAAUUCACGUGACCUUGAGACGGUGCUGCCAAGCAGACGAGUUGCCGGAUGAAAGCGGGAAUCUGUGUUGCGCGACACCAGAGAAAAAAAAAGAUUAUUUUUUCUCUUCGCCUUCUUCCUCAAGGACACGCGAAUGGGACGAAAGCCG